Macaca mulatta (Rhesus monkey) is the source of this 875-nucleotide non-coding RNA. Lineage: Eukaryota; Metazoa; Chordata; Mammalia; Primates; Cercopithecidae. The record is from RefSeq and is a predicted model, not a curated record.
AAGCGAGUGUGGGAACUGGAGGGAGUGAACGCUGAAACUGGCCAGUCACUCCUCUCUGGCGGGAGCAGGCUCUGUGCGGGCCCUACAGCAGCAUCCAAGCCCCUGUCCUCUUGGCACCCGAGCUCUUCCAGGAAGAAUUAGGUCACCCAACCGGAUUGAAGGAAGUCCACCCAAGGAUCCCCAGCGAAAGAGAGCCAUAGUCCGAGUCUCUGGCUGCCUGCCUGUUUGGAGCUUUGAUGGCCUCUAGGCCCCCAUAUGAGACAGGACUGUUCCCUUCACCUUAACCCCCUUCGUGGGCGGGAACCUGGCUGCAGAGCGUGCGAGUGCGGGAACCGGAGCUAACGAAUGCUGGAACCGGCCAGUCACCCCUCUCUGGCGGGAAUAGGCUCUGUACGGGCUUCACAGCAGCGUCCAAGCCCUGCCCUCUCGGCACCCGGGUGCCUGUCCGGCGUCCAGGAAGAAUUAAGUCACAUGAACGGAUUGAAGAGUAGUGUAUGCGGAGGAUUUGAUUGAGUGGUGGCUCCUGGUGGGAUGGAAACUGGAAAGUAGAUGGUGAGAGAGGAUCAUCUUUCCCGGAAGCCGCACCGUCUGAAGUUAGCUGCGCCUACCUCUAGUCUUCAACACUCCGUUGCUGCUUCUCUGCUCACCGCUCAGCCGCUUGUGUUGAUCUGCCGGCUGAAGUCUUUUUUAUGGCCACAGGAUAGGGGCGUGGCAGGCCAAAAAAUCAACAUUUGCGCAGAAAAACAGGGUCAGCUGUUUUCAAGGCCGUGAUUCCAGGCUUAAGGGUAGGGUUUAGCUGGGAGCCCAGCCGUUCUGUAUCAGUGAUAGUUGCACAACUAUAAAUAUACUAACAACUAUUAAAUUGUGUACUUUAA